UACGAAGGGGGCUAGCGUUGCUCGGAAUCACUGGGCGUAAAGCGCACGUAGGCGGACUCUUAAGUCGGUGGUGAAAUCCUGGAGCUCAACUCCAGAACUGCCUUCGAUACUGAGAAGCUCGAGUCCGGGAGAGGUGAGUGGAACUGCGAGUGUAGAGGUGAAAUUCGUAGAUAUUCGCAAGAACACCAGUGGCGAAGGCGGCUCACUGGCCCGGUACUGACGCUGAGGUGCGAAAGCGUGGGGAGCAAACAGG
RNAcentral lists this ribosomal RNA (253 nucleotides) under uncultured bacterium. RNAcentral describes it as "partial 16S ribosomal RNA". It matches the Rfam family "Bacterial small subunit ribosomal RNA", at positions 524 to 776 of the family's 1533-position model. The record is from RNAcentral.